UGAGGAAUAUUGGACAAUGGGUGAGAGCCUGAUCCAGCCAUCCCGCGUGAAGGACGACGGCCCUAUGGGUUGUAAACUUCUUUUGUACAGGGAUAAACCUUUCCACGUGUGGAAAGCUGAAGGUACUGUACGAAUAAGCACCGGCUAACUCCGUGCC
RNAcentral lists this ribosomal RNA (157 nucleotides) under uncultured bacterium. RNAcentral describes it as "partial 16S ribosomal RNA". It matches the Rfam family "Bacterial small subunit ribosomal RNA", at positions 355 to 509 of the family's 1533-position model. The record is from RNAcentral.